RNAcentral lists this ribosomal RNA (442 nucleotides) under uncultured bacterium. Its description in RNAcentral is "partial 16S ribosomal RNA". It matches the Rfam family "Bacterial small subunit ribosomal RNA", at positions 338 to 795 of the family's 1533-position model. The record is from RNAcentral.
CCUACGGGAGGCAACAGUAGGGAAUCUUUCACAAUGGGCGAAAGCCUGAUGGAGCAACGCCGCGUGCAGGAUGAAGGCCUUCGGGUUGUAAACUGCUUUUAUAAGCGAGAAAUAUGAUGGUAACUUAUGAAUAAGGAUCGGCUAACUACGUGCCAGCAGCCGCGGUCAUACGUAGGAUCCGAGCAUUAUCCGGAGUGACUGGGUGUAAAGAGUUGCGUAGGUGGCAUAAUAAGUAGCUAGUGAAAUCUGGUGGCUCAACCAUUCAGACUAUUAGCUAAACUGUUAAGCUCGAGAACGUUAGGGGUAACUGGAAUUUCUAGUGUAGGAGUGAAAUCCGUAGAUAUUAGAAGGAACACCAAUAGCGUAGGCAGGUUACUGGGACGGUUCUGACACUAAGGCACGAAAGCGUAGGGAGCAAACGGGAUUAGAUACCCCAGUAGUC